GAGAGUUUGUUUGGGUAAGGGGUUGGGGAAGGGCAAUAAAAGAGUGGGGGGAAAAAAAAAAGAAAAUAAGAAGGGUGUGCACGGUCCGUCUAUGGCCCAGCGGGCUCGCACUUACGCCUCAUUGAGGCCCCCCGCAUGUCUAGUCCCCAGUUUUGCUAUCCAGAGGCGUUCCGCCCGCCUCCGUUGGGCGACACUCCAUUUGGAGUUGCUCUGGACCACACACGUCCGGACAGAAGCCCACCCGUGCCGGAUGAAGUGCUGCACAAGGUCGGUGGUGGUGUUCUUCUGCCGGACGAUAUUAUGCUUAUGCUGGUGAAAAUGGGUGGCGAUGGUGUUGCCCGUGGUCUGGCAUCGCUGGCAGAGGAUGACAUAUACACAAUUUCUGGUGUGCCCGUCACCUCUGCACAGCGGCCGGAACACCUUCCCGCUGUGGCGGUUAAUUAGCCACGGGAUGUGCCGCAAGGGAGCGCUGCUGCAAGCCAGGGGCGGCUCUCUCAGUGAGGGAACCCGAGCUCUGACCAGCAGAUCACUUAGGCUGGGAUUUUUGCAGUACGCAGAUACCAGGUAGUGGUCUUUAGGUCUACCAUUCUUCUAGACAAAUGUCUUGAAGUUCUCUUUAACCCUUCUGGCAACCUGUACCGCCGCAGGUGAGAAGGUGGUUAUAAGAGGGAUCAUAGAUUGACCAGGGAGAGGCUUCUUCGGGUUAGGUUUGGGGUUGGGGUUAGGAGUUAGGGUUAGAUUUAAAGAGAAAGAGAGACGGGUAGGUUUUAGGUAUAAAGAAAAGAGAGACGGUAGGUUUAGGUAUGAAAAAGAGAGUCGGUUAGGAUUAGGAUAAGGGGUUGGGGAAGGGCGAUAAAAGAGUAGAAAAAGAAAAUAAGAAGGGUGCGCACGGUCCGUCUAUGGCCGAGCGGGCUGGCACUCACCCCUCAUUUAGGCCCCCCGGAUGUCUGGUACCCAGCUUGGUUAUCCAGAGGCGUUCGGCGUGCCGCCGUUGGCCUACGCUCCAUUUGGAGUCUGUGUGCACCACGCACGCCCGGACAGAAGCGCACCCGUGCCGGAUGAAAUGCUGCACGAGGUAGGUGGUGGUGUUCUUCUGCCGGACGAUAUUGUGUUUAUGUUGGUGAAAACGGGUGGCGAUGGAGUUUCCCGUUUCACCAACAUAUAGGUAUCGCUGGCAUUGGAUGACAUAGACACAAUUUUUUGUGUGUAUGUCGCCUCUGCGCAACGGCCGGAAGACUCUGCCGUUCUGGCGGUUGAGCAGCCACGGGAUGUGCCGCAAGGGAGCGCUGCUCCGGGUCGGGGGCGGCUCUCUGAGAGAGGGCAGCCGAGCCCUGAUCAGCAAGUCGCCUAGGCUGGGGUUCUUCCGGUACGCUGACACAAAGUAAUAUUUUUGUAGUCUGCCGCUCUUCUCCACAAACGUCCUAAAAUUCUCUUUCACUCUGCUGGCAAUCUGCACCGCUGCAGGUGAAUAGGUUGUAAUGAGGGGGAUCAUGGACUCGCCAGGGGCAGGUUCCUUUUGGGUCCACGAAGCACCUGUAUUGCUCCCUGAGGAAGGUCCUCGAGUAUCCCCUCCUCCUCAGGGCAGCGAACAUGACUCCCACAGCCCUCACAAAGUCCUCCCGCCUGGUGCAGAUCCGGGGGAACCUCAGGAGUUGGGACUUAACCAACCCCGCAUAGGUGAUGUGUGGAGGCGAAAUCCGGACCUUUGAAGGUGGUGGUGUCCAGGAAAUCUACCGGCGUGGGACUGGUGGUGGACUUAACGGUAAUGCUAGGGUUAUGGGUGUGGAGGAACACCUGGAAUUCCUCCAUGGAGUGAGACCACACCCCCCAGAUAUCAUCCAGGUAUCGGAAGUAGUAUAGGGGCUGGAUUGGGCAGGAAGCCAGGGCAGAGGUCUCCCACUCUGCCAUGAAGAUAUUUGCAUACGCUGGGGCAAAUUUCUUCCCCAUGGCCGUGCCCUUGAUUUGCAAAUAAAACUUGCCGUUAAACUCAAAAUCGUUCCUUUUGAGAUUGAUCUCGAGGAGUUGCAGGAGUUCCUUCUCUGGCCUGCUAACAUCCCGGUAUUUAUAAAAAAUAUUCUUAACGGCUUGGAUGCCCUGGUAUAUGUCUGUUAGUGUACAAACUAUCAAUAUCAAUGGUAAAGAAAAUCGAAUCCUGGGGAAUGACUGUUUUUUAUUUUGUCUAUGAAAUCGUAGGUGUCUUUAAGGUAACUAGGAUGUUUAAUGGAGAGAGGGGUUGAAUAAUAGUCUAUGUAUUCCGCCGUCCUAUAGGUUUCGCUCCCGCAGUCGGACACAAUGGGCCUGCCCGGAGGUAUUAAAUGGGGCUGGCUCCACUUGUGUGGCUCUUUGUGGAUCUUGGGGAGCAGAUAGAAUCUACGAGGACGGGGAUCCGAUUCCCCCAGGAGGUAAGUAUGUUGUUUGUGGUUGAUAAAUCUUUUAUUUAAUAAAUUAACGAUUUUUUCUACCAUCGGGAUAGUGUCCAGGUAGAUGCGUGCGGCCAACGGGGAAUAGUAUGUGGUGUCAUUGAGUUGUUUAUUGCCCUCCCAGAUGUAUUGGGACCUGUCCAAAAUCACAACCGCGCUGCCCUUGUCCGCCGGCUUGAUAACUAUGUUUUUGUUGUUUUGAAGGCUACGGAGCGCCUCAGUCUCGUCCCGCGUGAGGUUGGGUGCGACCGCAAGGGCGACACCCAAUAGGAGCUAUGGGUGCUCAUCAGCCAGGACCAACAUGUGGACCUCCGGAUGUAGCAGGCCCGGUGAUGGCUCCCAUUCGGACCUGGGAGUGAAAGGUCUCGGUCCGAGGGACCCUUGUUUUUCAUAAAACACUGCUAUUUUGACACUCCGAAGGUAUUCCUGCAGGUCCAAUUUGACCUGGUGGUCCCAAUUGGGACUGAGGCCUUUGUCGAGGAGGGAGCGCUGCGAGGAGGUGAGUAUGAAGUGUUUAGAUAAAUUUACAAUGUUGUUGUUUGUGGUAUUGUUGUUGUUUGUGUUUGUUUCCCCCCCCCGACAGGUCGGGUUUUUGGGGAUGCCAAGUUUAAAUGCUGAAGCCAGUGCUUCAGCAUGUUCUUGGCAGUCUCCUCGGUGAAGGUUGUCCCUCCCCGUAGCGAACUCAUCACUUGCGAGUGCCGGGAUGAAGUGGUAAUUUUUCUGAAUGUACGUGUUUAUUUUGUGGAGGUUGUUUUUGUGUUCCUCGGGCAGGGCUUCCGAGAAAUUGAUGAGGGGGAUGGAAAUUUCGGCGUUAGGGAAGACCGUUUUGGCCACCUUGAGGGCCCUUUGGAUCUGCUUGAAAGUGGUGGCCUUAGGGUUUAGUUCCUUAUUAUUGAUGCCGAAAGAUAAAACAACCAUUUCCACCUCAACACUAAUUUUAGUUUUUUCCAGGAUGGCCUCUGCAUGCCGAAAGUUGGCCCCUGGGUAGCUGUCCAUCUGAAGGUCCUGGAGACGGACAGAUGGCAGGCGACUGAUGUUAAUCACCAAUCACCAGGACCUUCUUGUCGACAGACAGGUGCCAAUCCACCAACUUGCGAGUCGUGCUAAUGUGCCUGGUAGGUCCCCUGCGCGGACUCAUUGGUGUGGUUAAAUGUGUUGUGUCGGUGUCCUUUAUCGGCUGAGAGGCCGAAGUGACAGUUCUAGGCCCUUUCCGGAUUCCGGCAAAAAAUUGGGACCCGCUUCCGGAACCGGCGUGCGUGGAGGAGGAGUGUCCACGAGGGGUACGUCCGGAAGAGGCGCGUCCGGGAGGAGCGCGUCCAGGAGAGAGGAUGUCGGCGAGGGUGGUCCCGGUUGGCCAGAACCAAGUUGGGACCAACUAGGCGGCGUGUCAGGGGGCAGUUGGGAUCACCCUGGAGGCCUCUCAGGGGAUGAUGCCGGCUGCUCAGGUAGCGGUGGCGCCUCGGAGACCGCAGGAGGGACCCCGACCUCGGUCUCGACACGCAAAGGCGGCCUGGGUGGCGGGACCAGGGGAGCCUCAACAAUGGAGUAGUUGGGAGGACUGCUACAUGGCUCCUGGGGUCAUGUCGCUCUCUGGGGCCUAGAUGGUGCCGCAGCCAGAGAGGAAGGCGACAAAACCGGGAAGGGGACCGGGGUGACCUGUCCCCUAGGACCCGGAACCCGUUCCACUACAGGGGACCAAUCUCUGACCACAGGGUCGGUCAUGGUGGAUACCGUGGUGCGCGUAGGAGCGUGCAGGGUCGGAACCUGCAGGGGCAGCGAGGGGUGUACCACCUCCAUCACAACCCGGGUGUCGGUCAAGUCCGAGUCGCCCAGUGACCCCGUCUGCUGAGAUCGCGCAGGACUCCCCACCUCGUCUACAACACAAACGUUCACACAGAUCGCGAUCACCAGACCCUCGGCCAGCCACAGUGUCUCGGUGGUCAAUCUGCGUCCCAGGUGUGCCUUGGCCCACGCCGAGGCCACCUGGAAUGGGUCUUUCCAGUUUUGGCCACUAAAAGCACUCAAUUUAUUCACUUCAGUUUGGAGUGCUUUUUUAUAAUGUUCCCUAAGAAUUUGCACUGUUUUUUGUGCCCAAUUAUGUGCAUUAUCUUUAAUUAGGGCUUCUGUGUCCGGGUUGGUGACCGCUGGCCUGAUUCCGGUCGUUAAGGUAAGUUCCAUGUUUGUUAUUGUUUGUGGUUGGAUGUCUCUACUCACAUUGUUUUGGUGGUGUAUAAUUUUAAUAAUAUUGUAAAUAAUUUUAGCUUUAAGGCUAAAAUCAACAUCCUGAUUUUCAGGAGGAAUUUCCAUGGAGGGGCGGUUUGUGUUGACAUUCCUGGUAAUGUUGGAGCGGUUUGUGUUGACAUUCCUGGUAAUGUUGGAGCGGUUUGUGUCGACAUUCCUGGUAAUGUUGGGGCGGUUUGUGUCGACAUUCCUGGUAAUGUUGGGGCGGUUUGUGUUGACAUUCCUGGUAAUGUUGGGGCGGUUUGUGUUGACAUUCCUGGUAAUGUUGGGGCGGUUUGUGUUGACAUUCCUAGUAAUGUUGGGGCGGUUUGUGUUGACAUUCCGGGUAAUGUUGGGACGGUUUGUGUUGACAAUCCGGGUAAUGUUGGGGCGAUGACCCUGUCUAAAUCCAGGUUUGUCAGCCCUAUACGUCCUCCUGGGAUUGGGAGGCUCAUGGUAGGCGGGUUGGAAAUUUACCCUGUUUUUUGGGGGGCUGAUGUUGUGCAGGAUGCUGAAAAUAUUGAGGUUUAGAGCCUCUGAAAAAAAUGUUUUUAUUAUUUUGAUUUUGGUGUGUACUGCGGGGAUUUCGCCACCGUGGGGCACCGUAAGGUCUGACACGCCGGCCGCUAUCACUCCUGUCACGUGAGACGUUGCCCUGGCGACGUGCGUCACGUGUGGGAUAGUCACGGCGACGUGCGUCACGUGUGGGGUAGUCAUGGCGAUGUGCGUCACGUCUCUCAUGCGUUUGGUUGUCAUGGCGACGUGUGUCGCGGCGGAGGUGCACCCGCUCGUCCUCCUCCUCAGCAGGAUAGCCACGCAGCACCUCCGCGUAGCUCCUGCGGGGAGGUUGUUGAAAACGGUCCGCAAAAUGGGUAUUUUGGUCAUCAUAGCGGCCGUUUUGUGGUGGAGGACGAGGGGGCGGGGUCAUCUCGCGCCGCGAUUGUUGUUUACGUCCGCGAGGACGCACAAGGACCCAUUCCUCGUCUUCCCACGCCGCCAUUUUGCGACAACCGGCAGUGUAAUUGAAUAUAAAAUAAGGAUUUUGUGUAAAAAUAAAGUAGGAAUGCAGGUAAGUGGGUAGAAAGAAAAAAUAAAUUGAUAGGAAAGAAAUAAAAUGGAAAGACACCGGCGCGCUUCGGUCACGGGUGACGUCACAUCCGCCCAAACCGGAUGUCUCGAAAAAAAACCCACAGAAGAAGAAGACAGGCUUCUUCGAAGAAAAAAAGAAUAUAAAGAAAAUAAACAACUAAGGGCGGUUCUGUGAAGAACGAUAAAAGACUCCAAGGUGGUUGGAGUACAAGGACAUCCGGGGCACUCCCUGCGCCGGAAACGUCCGUGUCACCAGGUCAGUGACCAUGUGAUAAAGGUAAGUAUUGUGGUAUUGUUUUGGUGUUUUUUCAGGUCACUGGAGUACGAGGACAUCCAGGGCAUUCUCCGCACCGGAAAUGUCCGUGUCCCCGGGAACAACUCGUAGACCAGGAGUCCCCAACCGCCGGCUCUUUGAUGUCUCUGAUGCGGCUCAGCUUGUCACGGCCAGCUCAGCUCGUCAAACCUCAGGACACGCCCACGGCCGCCAGGACGGUGACAUGUGGGUGUCCAGCUGGUAGGACAUGUGGGUGUCCAAGUUAAAGCACCUGACAGCACGCCUUGAAGAUGUUUCACGCCAGAAGGCCGUUCUUGCUCAGAAUCACAAAUAGUGUGAUAUUGAAAACCUCCCCAAGCCAGACUAACUUGUGUUCAAAACUUGGAACGCUAUCCCUCAAUUUUUUGUGAACAUGAAAAAGUAUGCACUUGGAGUUCUGUCCUUCUUUGGAUCCACAUAUGCAUGUGAGCAGGUGUUCUCCAACAUGAACUUUAUUAAAAACAAACAUAUGCAUGUCAGCAGGUGUUCUCCAACAUGAACUUUAUUAAAAACAAACAUAUGCAUGUGAGCAGGUGUUCUCCAACAUGAACUUUAUUAAAAACAAACAUAUGCAUGUGAGCAGGUGUUCUCCAACAUGAACUUUAUUAAAAACAAACAUAUGCAUGUGAGCAGGUGUUCUCCAACAUGAACUUUAUUAAAAACAAACAUAUGCAUGUGAGCAGGUGUUCUCCAACAUGAACUUUAUUAAAAACAAACAUAUGCAUGUCAGCAGGUGUUCUCCAACAUGAACUUUAUUAAAAACAAACAUAUGCAUGUGAGCAGGUGUUCUCCAACAUGAACUUUAUUAAAAACAAACAUAUGCAUGUGACCAGGUGUUCUCCAACAUGAACUUUAUUAAAAACAAACAUAUGCAUGUCAGCAGGUGUUCUCCAACAUGAACUUUAUUAAAAACAAACAUAUGCAUGUGAGCAGGUGUUCUCCAACAUGAACUUUAUUAAAAACAAACAUAUGCAUGUGAGCAGGUGUUCUCCAACAUGAACUUUAUUAAAAACAAACA
Molecule: long non-coding RNA, 7060 nt
Organism: Nerophis ophidion (straightnose pipefish)
Lineage: Eukaryota; Metazoa; Chordata; Actinopteri; Syngnathiformes; Syngnathidae
Exons: 5
Source: RefSeq, a predicted model, not a curated record